GACGAACGCUGGCGGCGCGCUUAACACAUGCAAGUCGAACGGAAAGGCCUGCUUUCCCUUGUGGAUUGCGGGUACUCGAGUGGCGAACGGGUGAGUAACACGUGAGUGAUCUGCCCCCAACUUGGGUAUAAGCCUGGGAAACUGGGUCUAAUUCCCGAUAGGACUGCAGGGUGGUGCCUGUGGUGGAAAACGAUUUUCUAGUGGUUGGGGAUGAGCUCGCGGCCUAUCAGCUUGUUGGUGGGGUAAUGGCCUACCAAGGCGGCGACGGGUAGCCGGCCUGAGAGGGUGGACGGCCACAUUGGGACGGAGAUACGGCCCAGACUCCUACGGGAGGCAGCAGUGGGGAAUAUUGCACAAUGGGCGGAAGCCUGAUGCAGCGACGCCGCGUGGGGGAUGACGGCCUUCGGGUGGUAAACUCCUUUCGACCGCGAGGAAGCCACCUGGUUGGAAGGGUGGUGACGGUAGUGGUAGAAGAAGCACCGGCUAACUACGUG
RNAcentral lists this ribosomal RNA (494 nucleotides) under uncultured bacterium. Its description in RNAcentral is "partial 16S ribosomal RNA". It matches the Rfam family "Bacterial small subunit ribosomal RNA", at positions 28 to 507 of the family's 1533-position model. The record is from RNAcentral.